UCUAAACCAUGGCACUGUAUAAAAGGAACUGAUUUUGUCCUGGAAUUCACAGUGGCUCUGUUAACAGUGCAGCCAUGAAUAAAAUUAAUUUUGUUGUUUUCCUGAUUGCCGGACUUCAAGUCGCUGACAUAGAAAUGUGGCAAAAUGACUAUGACAAAAAGCUAUAUUUUACCUGUUCCGGUAGAGACUCAAUAUCUAUGAUUACCAGCAAACAUGAUAACGGACGUGAAGAUCGUGUCUGGGACUUCAGUUGCAAGCAAAGCUUUGACAGCUUUUCAGAAUGCUUCUGGUCUCCUUAUGUCAAUUGGUUUGAUGAAGAGUUCACAUUCAGCUGUCCAUCAAAUUACAUUAUUUCAGGAAUGGAAAGCGAACAUGAAAACAAAUAUGAAGAUCGAAGGUGGAAAUUCAAGUGCUGCAGAGUAAAUAACUACUGCAAUUACAACUGCUUGUGGACACCCUACGUAAACAACUUUGAUGAGCAAUUCACUUGGCAUGUUCCACACCUCAACUACCUUGCUGGAGCUGGAAGUUACCAUGCGAAUAUACAAGAAGAUCGCCGCUGGAGGUAUAAGUACUGUACAAGAAGUUUUUGUUGAUUCCUUAAGAUCUUUUUGGUAAAAGGCUACGGCUAAAUGUAAAAAUUAGUCAAGUUCAACUUUCUUAUCCAAGUCGGAAAUUAGUUUGGUCAAAGGAGAAAUUAUACACACAUAAAAACAGCACAACAUCAACAAUCUAACGCUUCGAUGCUCCCAUUUACUGAACUGACCUCAUGUAUACCACACCAGGUGAAGACCUGAGGGUAGAAACAUUGUGUACAUAGUGCAAUAAAUGUGAGCAUUGAAGAGCAGUGUGCAGAAAUUACUUUCUUUUUACAUUAAAUUCCCGUAUAAGUACAACACUUACCAAAAGAAUGGGAUGUGAUUAUGUUUUUUUCUACUUUUAUAACCUAAAGUAGAAAUUAUGACAAUUAAGAAAAUAUACCUAAAUUGUACCAUGUAUGGUAAAUUCAAAAGUAGACAAAUAAACACAGCAAUAUGCAUGGAAA
Long non-coding RNA from Anguilla rostrata (American eel), 1045 nucleotides. RefSeq lists it as uncharacterized. The transcript is spliced from 5 exons. The record is from RefSeq and is a predicted model, not a curated record. Lineage: Eukaryota; Metazoa; Chordata; Actinopteri; Anguilliformes; Anguillidae.